Molecule: ribosomal RNA, 529 nt
Filed under: uncultured bacterium
Lineage: Bacteria
Description: bacterial SSU rRNA
Rfam family: Bacterial small subunit ribosomal RNA
Source: RNAcentral
UUGACAUCCAGAGAAUUUAGCAGAGAUGCUUUAGUGCCUUCGGGAACGUCUGAGACAGGUGCUGCAUGGCUGUCGUCAGCUCGUGUUGUGAAAUGUUGGGUUAAGUCCGCAACGAGCGCAACCCUUAUCCUUUGUUGCCAGCACGUAAUGGUGGGAACUCAAAGGAGACUGCCGGUGAUAAACCGGAGGAAGGUGGGGAUGACGUCAAGUCAUCAUGGCCCUUACGAGUAGGGCUACACACGUGCUACAAUGGCGUAUACAAAGAGAAGCGACCUCGCGAGAGCAAGCGGACCUCAUAAAGUGCGUCGUAGUCCGGAUUGGAGUCUGCAACUCGACUCCAUGAAGUCGGAAUCGCUAGUAAUCGUAAAUCAGAAUGUUACGGUGAAUACGUUCCCGGGCCUUGUACACACCGCCCGUCACACCAUGGGAGUGGGUUGCAAAAGAAGUAGAUAGCUUAACCUUCGGGAGGGCGUUUACCACUUUGUGAUUCAUGACUGGGGUGAAGUCGUAACAAGGUAAGCGUAGUGCU